RNAcentral lists this ribosomal RNA (484 nucleotides) under uncultured bacterium. Its description in RNAcentral is "partial 16S ribosomal RNA". It matches the Rfam family "Bacterial small subunit ribosomal RNA", at positions 30 to 507 of the family's 1533-position model. The record is from RNAcentral.
AUUGAACGCUGGCGGCAGGCCUAACACAUGCAAGUCGAGCGGAUGAAGGGAGCUUGCUCCUGGAUUCAGCGGCGGACGGGUGAGUAAUGCCUAGGAAUCUGCCUGGUAGUGGGGGAUAACGUCCGGAAACGGGCGCUAAUACCGUAUACGUCCUGAGGGAGAAAGUGGGGGAUCUUCGGACCUCACGCUAUCAGAUGAGCCUAGGUCGGAUUAGCUAGUUGGUGGGGUAAAGGCCUACCAAGGCGACGAUCCGUAACUGGUCUGAGAGGAUGAUCAGUCACACUGGAACUGAGACACGGUCCAGACUCCUACGGGAGGCAGCAGUGGGGAAUAUUGGACAAAGGGCGAAAGCCUGAUCCAGCCAUGCCGCGUGUGUGAAGAAGGUCUUCGGAUUGUAAGGCACUUUAAGUUGGGAGGAAGGGCAGUAAGUUAAUACCUUGCUGUUUUGACGUUACCAACAGAAUAAGCACCGGCUAACUUCGUG